This 1689-nucleotide ribosomal RNA is filed under the name Triticum aestivum (bread wheat). RNAcentral describes it as "partial small subunit ribosomal RNA". Lineage: Eukaryota; Viridiplantae; Streptophyta; Magnoliopsida; Poales; Poaceae. The record is from RNAcentral.
AUGCUGAUAAACAGAUGGCGGUCCAAAAACGCUGAGGACCAGAGGACCAAGGAGGAGAUGACUGAUCAGAUGGGCAAAGGCAAAUCCAGCACCCACUGUCUUGAGAAGCAGAGGACAGAGGAAGAGGUGAAUGUAUCUAUAACAGAUUUGACUGACCAUAUCGCUGAUGAUGGCCAGUUGACAGAUGAUGAGGGUGACCAUUUUGUGGGAGCAGAUCUGAUAAGUUGCCUUUCCAACCAGAUGACUGCGUACAUGGAUGAUGGCCAAUCAAGCGCCGAGAUGCAUGUGUCGAGGAUGAUGGACAAAGGCAAAUCAAUUAGUGAAGGCAUGUCAAGCAUGGAGAAAAGCAAACCGGAUUCAGAUGCGUCGAGGAUGUUGGAUAUGAUGAUGCUGGAUUCUGAUGAUAAGAGUGAGUCGGAUGGUAUGACCAACUUGUGCAAAUAUUACAAGAUGCUCGAAUUUGAGGGUGAGAAGGUGUUGGGCAAGAUGACUGCGGAGAAUUUAAGGAUGUAUUACAGAUUUCAUACGGAGCUAUUAAAGAUGGAAGCCAGCUCUCGCGAGUUCCGGGAGCAGAAUGAAAAGGAUGACCUGAGGUGGGAGCAGGAUAAGAAGGACGCAUUGAGCUGUUGCAGAACAGACCCGACCCCCUUCUCACUUCAGGACGCGGUUGAGGAGGAGGGGGAGGAGGAGGAGGUGACAGAAUUCACAAAAUCAGACAAAGAGGAGAUGGAGACGGAGGACAUGUUGUUUUCUGGAAAACGUAAAGGCUGGGAAUCCGCAUGGGGAUGCUGUGGUGAAUUUGAAGACAGUACCGCAGUGAGUCCUAUGCACUUUACACAUUGCACGCCGGGACUGAUCCCGUACGCCGCUCGCUCUGUGAGCACCUUGCAGAUCUACUCCUUAAAGAUUGUUGGAACAGAUGGAAAGUUGAAGUUACCACUCCAUGUGUAUGGUCUUGUUGCUGCCCGGGACACCGUGGACUACAACCGCAACAUUCUCUUCUUUAGGCGAAGGGAAGACUGUCAAAAACUCACUCCAGAGGAUCCAUUUUUGCACUUGACUGGCCCGUCCCGUGCCAUCGUGGCUGUGGACCAUGUUGACUUCGAAGUCCAACUGAAAGUAAAGGGUGCAACAAGGUCCAGCGACAGAGCAUUGAUCAGUCGUUGCUGCACUUAUGCUGGUGGUUAUCAUGAAGGUUUAGAUACCGCUCUCUUCAGCAACUGCUUUUGCACGGUAGAGUUAAGCUUGGAGCGACUCGCAAAGACAGUCCAGGCUACCAUCUUAAGUAUCCGUGUUGUUGAAGGCGGACCUUGGCCUUUUGAAUAUGGUGGUCGGAUUGUGUGCUCCUCACCACCACAGGAAGUUAUGGACUCCCUGGCCAGGCAAGUUGUGUUGGUUGAUUCUCGUUCUUCUGAUGGUGGAGAAAUGCCAAUGGGCACAGGUGGCUACCUUGAUCUGUCAAGGCAUGUUGUUUCUGUAGAACUGGAAGAAAGCCUGCAAUUUGUUAUACAAGCCUACUCGCAGUCUGGUGAUGCUAUUGCUAGACAAGGUCGUGUCAAGUUCAGGGCCGAAUAUUGCAACGUAAGUCGAGGUAUAUGUGAGAUUGGUGACUCUAAGGUGGAGAUUACUGUUGCUUGGUCCAAACUUGUUACCAAAAGGAUGGAUAUCCUCUUAGAAGGACAUGUUUGA